This 381-nucleotide ribosomal RNA is filed under the name fish environmental sample. RNAcentral's name for it is "SSU rRNA". It matches the Rfam family "Eukaryotic small subunit ribosomal RNA", at positions 587 to 972 of the family's 1831-position model. Lineage: Eukaryota; Metazoa; Chordata. The record is from RNAcentral.
AGCUCCAAUAGCGUAUAUUAAAGUUGUUGCAGUUAAAAAGCUCGUAGUUGGAUCUCGGGUUCGGACUGGCGGUCCUACUCACGUAGGUACUGCUUGUUCCGACCUCCCUGCCGGUUUGUCCCUUGGUGCUCUUCGCUGAGUGCCUUGGGUGGCCGGAACGUUUACUUUGAAAAAAUUAGAGUGUUCAAGGCAGGCGUCUCGCCUGAAUAUUGUUGCAUGGAAUAAUGGAAUAGGACCUCGGUUCUAUUUUGUUGGUUUUCGGAACUUGAGGUAAUGAUUAAGAGGGACAGACGGGGGCAUUAGUAUUACGGUGUUAGAGGUGAAAUUCAUGGAUCGCCGUAAGACUAACUACUGCGAAAGCAUUUGCCAAGAAUGUUUUCA